Molecule: transfer RNA, 67 nt
Filed under: Armandia sp. GK-2021
Lineage: Eukaryota; Metazoa; Annelida; Polychaeta; Opheliidae
Description: tRNA-Asp
Rfam family: tRNA
About the family: Transfer RNA (tRNA) molecules are approximately 80 nucleotides in length. Their secondary structure includes four short double-helical elements and three loops (D, anti-codon, and T loops). Further hydrogen bonds mediate the characteristic L-shaped molecular structure. tRNAs have two regions of fundamental functional importance: the anti-codon, which is responsible for specific mRNA codon recognition, and the 3' end, to which the tRNAs corresponding amino acid is attached (by aminoacyl-tRNA synthetases). tRNAs cope with the degeneracy of the genetic code in two manners: having more than one tRNA (with a specific anti-codon) for a particular amino acid; and 'wobble' base-pairing, i.e. permitting non-standard base-pairing at the 3rd anti-codon position.
Source: RNAcentral
GAAGCUUUAGUUAAAAGAUAACACAAGUUUGUCAAGCUUGGGUUGCCCUUUCAAGGCAAGCUUCUCC